ACUAGCAAUAGUUGAUGGCGAGUGGCGGACGGGUGAGUAGAGUAUCGGAAUAAACGAUUAUGUUUGGGAUAGCUAAUCGAAAGAUUGGAUAAUACCGGAUACACUCUGAGGAGGAAAGCUGGGGAUUAGGCGACUAACCUAGCGCAUAAUGAUUAGCCGAUAACCGAUUAGUUAGUUGGUGAGGUAAAGGCUUACCAAGGCGAUGAUUGGUAGCUGUUCUGAGAGGAAGGGCAGCCACACUGGGACUGAGACACGGCCCAGACUCC
Molecule: ribosomal RNA, 266 nt
Filed under: unidentified marine bacterioplankton
Lineage: Bacteria
Description: partial 16S ribosomal RNA
Rfam family: Bacterial small subunit ribosomal RNA
Source: RNAcentral